This 44-nucleotide non-coding RNA is filed under the name Streptomyces avicenniae. RNAcentral's name for it is "L31-Actinobacteria ribosomal protein leader". It matches the Rfam family "L31-Actinobacteria ribosomal protein leader". The record is from RNAcentral. Lineage: Bacteria; Bacillati; Actinomycetota; Actinomycetes; Kitasatosporales; Streptomycetaceae.
UCGGCCCCGGUUCACGGCACGCGCCCGCGUGCCGACCCGGCGCC